UACGAAUGGGGCAAGCGUUGUUCGGAAUCACUGGGCUUAAAGCGUGCGUAGGCGGACUUGCAAGUCAGGAGUGAAAUCCCAGGGCUCAACCUUGGAAUUGCUUUUGAAACUAUGAGUCUAGAAUCCGGCAGGGGUUGGGAGAAUUCCUAGUGUAGAGGUGAAAUUCGCAGAUAUUAGGAGGAAUACCAGUGGCGUAGGCGCCCAACUGGACCGGCAUUGACGCUGAGGCACGAAAGCGUGGGGAGCAAACAGG
This 253-nucleotide unclassified non-coding RNA is filed under the name uncultured Alphaproteobacteria bacterium. RNAcentral describes it as "contains 16S-23S intergenic spacer region". It matches the Rfam family "Bacterial small subunit ribosomal RNA", at positions 524 to 776 of the family's 1533-position model. Lineage: Bacteria; Pseudomonadati; Pseudomonadota; Alphaproteobacteria. The record is from RNAcentral.